GACGAACGCUGGCGGCGUGCUUAACACAUGCAAGUCGAACGGAAAGGCCCUGCUUGCAGGGUACUCGAGUGGCGAACGGGUGAGUAACACGUGGGUGAUCUGCCCUGCACUUCGGGAUAAGCCUGGGCAACUGGGUCUAAUACCGGAUAGGAGCCAUUUUUAGUGUGAUGGUUGGAAAGUUUUUUCGGUGUAGGAUGAGCUCGCGGCCUAUCUGCUUGUUGGUGGGGUAAUGGCCUACCAAGGCGGCGACGGGUAGCCGGCCUGAGAGGGUGGACGGCCACAUUGGGACUGAGAGACGGCCCAGACUCCUACGGGAGGCAGCAGGGGGGAAUAUUGCACAAUGGGCGCAAGCCGGAUGCAGCGACGCCGCGUGGGGGAUGACGGCCUUCGGGUUGUAAACUCCUUUCGCUAGGGACGAAGCUUUUUGUGACGGUACCUAGAUAAGAAGCACCGGCUAACUACGUG
This 465-nucleotide ribosomal RNA is filed under the name uncultured bacterium. Its description in RNAcentral is "partial 16S ribosomal RNA". It matches the Rfam family "Bacterial small subunit ribosomal RNA", at positions 28 to 507 of the family's 1533-position model. The record is from RNAcentral.